AUCUCUUCUCGGCCUUUUGGCUAAGAUCAAGUGUAAUAAAUUGAGCUUUUUCUUCACAAGAUUCCAACUGAAUUUGUGAUGGAUUUUUCAGGAAACAAGGAAAUAGUUUUAGUAAUAAAACAUUAAACUUCUAAAGACAUUUUUUC
Heterocephalus glaber (naked mole-rat) is the source of this 146-nucleotide small nuclear RNA. Its record names the gene U2. It matches the Rfam family "U2 spliceosomal RNA". Rfam says of the family: U2 is a small nuclear RNA (snRNA) component of the spliceosome (involved in pre-mRNA splicing). Complementary binding between U2 snRNA (in an area lying towards the 5' end but 3' to hairpin I) and the branchpoint sequence (BPS) of the intron results the bulging out of an unpaired adenosine, on the BPS, which initiates a nucleophilic attack at the intronic 5' splice site, thus starting the first of two transesterification reactions that mediate splicing. The record is from Ensembl. Lineage: Eukaryota; Metazoa; Chordata; Mammalia; Rodentia; Bathyergidae.